RNAcentral lists this ribosomal RNA (468 nucleotides) under uncultured bacterium. RNAcentral's name for it is "partial 16S ribosomal RNA". It matches the Rfam family "Bacterial small subunit ribosomal RNA", at positions 28 to 507 of the family's 1533-position model. The record is from RNAcentral.
GACGAACGCUGGCGGCGUGCUUAACACAUGCAAGUCGAACGGAAAGGCCCUGCUUUUGUGGGGUUCUCGAGUGGCGAACGGGUGAGUAACACGUGAGUAACCUGCCCUUGACUUUGGUAUAACUUCAGGAAACUGGGGCUAAUACCGGAUAGGAGCUCCUGCUGCAUUGUGGGGGUUGGAAAGUUUCGGCGGUUGGGGAUGGACUCGCGGCUUAUCAGCUUGUUGGUGGGGUAGUGGCUUACCAAGGCUUUGACGGGUAGCCGGCCUGAGAGGGUGACCGGCGACAUUGGGACUGAGAUACGGCCGAGACUCCUACGGGAGGAAGCAGUGGGGAAUAUUGCACAAUGGGCGGAAGCCUGAUGCAGCAACGCCGCGUGCGGGAUGACGGCCUUCGGGUUGUAAAACGCUUUCGCCUGUGACGAAGCGUGAGUGACGGUAAUGGGUAAAGAAGCACCGGCUAACUACGUG